GACGAACGCUGGCGGCGUGCCUAAUACAUGCAAGUUGAGCGAUGAAGAUUGGUGCUUGCACCAAUUUGAAGAGCAGCGAACGGGUGAGUAACGCGUGGGUACUCUGCCUUUGAGCGUGGGACAACAUUUGGAAACGAAUGCUAAUACCGCAUAAUAACUUUAAACAUAAGUUUUAAGUUUGAAAGAUGCAAUUGCAUCACUCAAAGAUGAUCCCGAGUUUUAUUAGCUAGUUGGGUAGGUAAAGGCUCACCAAGGCGAUGAUACAUAGCCGGCCUGAUAGGGAGGUCGGCCACAUUGGGAACUAGACAAGGGCCCAAACCCUACGGGGGGGAGCAGUAGGGAAUCUUUGGAAAUGGGCGGAAGUCUUACCGAGGACAGCCGGGGGAGGGAAGAAAGGUUUCGGAUCGUAAAACCAUGUUGGGUGGGAAGAACGUUGAGUAGAGUGGAAAGCUCAUCAAGUGACGGUAACUACACAGAAAGCGACGGCUAACUACGUG
RNAcentral lists this ribosomal RNA (497 nucleotides) under uncultured bacterium. RNAcentral's name for it is "partial 16S ribosomal RNA". It matches the Rfam family "Bacterial small subunit ribosomal RNA", at positions 28 to 507 of the family's 1533-position model. The record is from RNAcentral.